This 1346-nucleotide ribosomal RNA is filed under the name uncultured bacterium. RNAcentral's name for it is "bacterial SSU rRNA". It matches the Rfam family "Bacterial small subunit ribosomal RNA", at positions 28 to 1381 of the family's 1533-position model. The record is from RNAcentral.
GACGAACGCUGGCGGCGUGCUUAACACAUGCAAGUCGAACGGAAAGGCCCUGCUUUUGUGGGGUGCUCGAGUGGCGAACGGGUGAGUAACACGUGAGUAACCUGCCCUUGACUUUGGGAUAACUUCAGGAAACUGGGGCUAAUACCGGAUAGGAGCUCCUGCUGCAUGGUGGGGGUUGGAAAGUUUCGGCGGUUGGGGAUGGACUCGCGGCUUAUCAGCUUGUUGGUGGGGUAGUGGCUUACCAAGGCUUUGACGGGUAGCCGGCCUGAGAGGGUGACCGGCCACAUUGGGACUGAGAUACGGCCCAGACUCCUACGGGAGGCAGCAGUGGGGAAUAUUGCACAAUGGGCGGAAGCCUGAUGCAGCAACGCCGCGUGCGGGAUGACGGCCUUCGGGUUGUAAACCGCUUUCGCCUGUGACGAAGCGUGAGUGACGGUAAUGGGUAAAGAAGCACCGGCUAACUACGUGCCAGCAGCCGCGGUGAUACGUAGGGUGCGAGCGUUGUCCGGAUUUAUUGGGCGUAAAGGGCUCGUAGGUGGUUGAUCGCGUCGGAAGUGUAAUCUUGGGGCUUAACCCUGAGCGUGCUUUCGAUACGGGUUGACUUGAGGAAGGUAGGGGAGAAUGGAAUUCCUGGUGGAGCGGUGGAAUGCGCAGAUAUCAGGAGGAACACCAGUGGCGAAGGCGGUUCUCUGGGCCUUUCCUGACGCUGAGGAGCGAAAGCGUGGGGAGCGAACAGGCUUAGAUACCCUGGUAGUCCACGCUGUAAACGGUGGGUACUAGGUGUGGGGUCCAUUCCACGGGUUCCGUGCCGUAGCUAACGCUUUAAGUACCCCGCCUGGGGAGUACGGCCGCAAGGCUAAAACUCAAAGGAAUUGACGGGGCCCCGCACAAGCGGCGGAGCAUGCGGAUUAAUUCGAUGCAACGCGUAGAACCUUACCUGGGUUUGACAUGGAUCGGGAGCGCUCAGAGAUGGGUGUGCCUCUUUUGGGGUCGGUUCACAGGUGGUGCAUGGCUGCCGUCAGCUCGUGUCGUGAGAUGUUGGGUUAAGUCCCGCAACGAGCGCAACCCUUGUUCACUGUUGCCAGCACGUUAUGGUGGGGACUCAGUGGAGACCGCCGGGGUCAACUCGGAGGAAGGUGGGGAUGACGUCAAGUCAUCAUGCCCCUUAUGUCCAGGGCUUCACGCAUGCUACAAUGGCUGGUACAGAGAGUGGCGAGCCUGUGAGGGUGAGCGAAUCUCGGAAAGCCGGUCUCAGUUCGGAUUGGGGUCUGCAACUCGACCUCAUGAAGUCGGAGUCGCUAGUAAUCGCAGAUCAGCAACGCUGCGGUGAAUACGUUCCCGGGGCU